This 209-nucleotide long non-coding RNA is filed under the name Elaeis guineensis (African oil palm). RNAcentral's name for it is "long non-coding RNA (EGUI_LNC034271)". The record is from RNAcentral. Lineage: Eukaryota; Viridiplantae; Streptophyta; Magnoliopsida; Arecales; Arecaceae.
GUUGGCUUAUAUCACCUGUGAGCCUCCACCCUCGAGUUUCCUCAAAAUUAAUUUUGAUGGUAGUAUUUUGGAGGACAGUUGGUGAGGAGCUUUAGUUUUGCUAUCAAGGGAUUGGACUCCAGAUUAGUGGUAGCUAGGGGUUGCUAGAUUUUGGACAUUUCUGUGCCUGGAGCGGAGUUGAUGGCAGCUCGGGCAGGGAUCACCUAUGC